AUUUUUUACCAGUGCCCUUCCUCUCCUAAUUAUUAUUUUGUCUAAGCCACUGGCUUUUAAAUUCUCUAAAAUUUGAGAGUUAUUUUACAGUGUUUUUUCUCUUUAAGUUUAAUUAUAUAAAGAACAUAGGAAUACAUUACUGUGUUUUUCUGACGUCUGGAAUGUGAGAGAAGUCUCCUGACUGCUUUCCCAGUGUCAGUCCUACCUCUCGGCUCUCCUUUAUCAAGUUUGUUUUUCCAGAUAAAGUUACAGUUUAUUUCCAUUGAUUUAUUCAAGACUGUUAUAGUUUAAAGAUUCUAUUUUUUAAAAUAAAACAGAGCCCUUCUGUUUAAAUGAACUUUAUUUUGCACUUUAUUGUAUAUUUAAAUCAAAUGUGCUCACUGUUAUGCUAGGCACUUUGAAAGUACAAAGGGAGAAUGUUCGGUGUGCUCGGUGAGCUUUCAGUCACAGAGAAGUGAGGCAUGCACACAGAAUAAUGAGAAGGCAGUAUAACAAUAUGAUUAUCAGUUACCAGAAUAAAACAUGUCAGUGCGUUAAGUGUUAUAGUAGUAAUUAUGGUGGGCUUAAGAGAGCACAGAUAUUUUAAUGAAAAGUUUCAUCUUCGGGUCAACCAUGACAAAUUGGGGAAAAUUUGAAAAAUGGGAGGUUAUUCUAGGUAGAAUGACCUACUUGUUUCUGGAAAAAACAGAAGCAAAUGCUUAAAAAUAUGAAAAAGUAUUUGUUCUGGGAAUAGUAUAGAGAGACCAACUUGAUUCUCAUGUAUAAUUUAUAUUGGAAACAAUCCACAGUAUUGAAAUU
Ceratotherium simum simum (southern white rhinoceros) is the source of this 798-nucleotide non-coding RNA. Lineage: Eukaryota; Metazoa; Chordata; Mammalia; Perissodactyla; Rhinocerotidae. The record is from RefSeq and is a predicted model, not a curated record.